UGCGUAGGCGGAAUAUUAAGUCAGUGGUGAAGUCCUGCGGCUCAACCGUAGAACUGUCAUUGAUACUGAUAUUCUUGAAUGUAGUUGAGGUAGGCGGAAUGUGUAAUGUGCGGUGAAAUGCUUAGAUAUUACACAGAACACCGAUUGCGAAGGCAGCUUACUAAACUAUGAUUGACGCUGAGGCACGAAAGCGUGGGGAGCGAACAGGAUUAGAUACCCUGGUAGUCC
This 228-nucleotide ribosomal RNA is filed under the name uncultured bacterium. Its description in RNAcentral is "partial 16S ribosomal RNA". It matches the Rfam family "Bacterial small subunit ribosomal RNA", at positions 568 to 796 of the family's 1533-position model. The record is from RNAcentral.